Molecule: transfer RNA, 65 nt
Filed under: Margarinotus merdarius
Lineage: Eukaryota; Metazoa; Arthropoda; Insecta; Coleoptera; Histeridae
Description: tRNA-Asp
Source: RNAcentral
AAAAAUUUAGUUAAAAAAUAACAUUAGUUUGUCAAGCUAAAAUUAUUGCAAAGUAAUAAUUUUUA